CUGCUGACAGGGACUCCGUGCUCUACUCUUAUUCCAGCACUUACAUGUUUUCUUGUGGGACAAAUUACUUUAAUAUUGCUUGUGACCUUUCUAAUUUGGCAACUAUUGUUAAAAAAAGUUCCUCCCAGACGUUCUCGUGUAUUUUCUUGUGAAGCAUCUUUGCUGAAUUAUGAAAAUAAUUUAAAAGGAAGGGGAAUCUUUAGCUCCUAUUCUAGACAACGUUUUCCUACAAAAGUUAAAAGGGACAGUGCGCCAUUUUACGAGUUAAACAGAAUGUUUCAACGUUUAUUUUUAGAAUUUU
This is a long non-coding RNA of Zophobas morio, 301 nucleotides long. RefSeq lists it as uncharacterized. The record is from RefSeq and is a predicted model, not a curated record. NCBI's taxonomy places the organism in Eukaryota, Metazoa, Arthropoda, Insecta, Coleoptera, Tenebrionidae. The transcript is spliced from 4 exons.